RNAcentral lists this ribosomal RNA (253 nucleotides) under uncultured bacterium. RNAcentral describes it as "partial 16S ribosomal RNA". It matches the Rfam family "Bacterial small subunit ribosomal RNA", at positions 524 to 776 of the family's 1533-position model. The record is from RNAcentral.
UACAGAGGGGGCAAGCGUUAUUCGGAAUUAUUGGGCGUAAAGGGCGCGUAGGCGGUCUGACAAGUGGAAGGUGAAAUCCCCGCGCUUAACGUGGGAACUGCCUUCCAAACUGUUUGACUUGAAUCCGGGAGAGGUGAGUGGAAUUCCCAGUGUAGCGGUGAAAUGCGUAGAUAUUGGGAGGAACACCAGUGGCGAAGGCGGCUCACUGGACCGGAACUGACGCUGAGGCGCGAAAGCGUGGGGAGCAAACAGG